UGGGGAAUAUUGGGCAAUGGGGGAAACCCUGACCCAGCAACGCCGCGUGAGUGAAGAAGGCCUUCGGGUUGUAAAGCUCUGUCAUUAGGGAAGAAGAAGUGACGGUACCUAAUGAGGAAGCCCCGGCUAACUACGUGCCAGCAGCCGCGGUAAUACGUAGGGGGCGAGCGUUGUCCGGAAUUACUGGGCGUAAAGGGUGCGUAGGCGGCGUGUUAAGUUGGAUGUGAAAUACCCGGGCUUAACCUGGGGGGUGCAUUCGAUACUGGCAGGCUAGAGUGCAGGAGAGGGAAGCGGAAUUCCUAGUGUAGCGGUGAAAUGCGUAGAUAUUAGGAGGAACACCAGUGGCGAAGGCGGCUUUCUGGACUGUAACUGACGCUGAUGCACGAAAGCGUGGGGAGCAAACAGG
Molecule: ribosomal RNA, 406 nt
Filed under: uncultured prokaryote
Also listed under: 1 other name
Description: bacterial SSU rRNA
Rfam family: Bacterial small subunit ribosomal RNA
Source: RNAcentral